AUCAUAGGGCCGGAAUUAAAAAAAAAAAGAUAAAUGGGUUUUUUUACGCGAGCCGGGCCUUCCCAGUGACCCCGUAGGAGACGGGUUCACGCCAGGUGUCACGCAGCUAUUGGCGACGCGUUAUUGACGUGAGGAGGAGGAUCGCGUGUAGAGAAUCACUUUCCCUCAUUUCUGAAAAAAUCUAGGGUUUGCUCCCGAGAGGCGAUUUCUCGAGCGAUCGUCUCCUCUCAUCUCAUUUCUUCAAAUUUCUUCACUAUUCUUCAUCGAUUCGAGUAGAGAGUGUCUCCUCCACGUUAAUAGAUGGAUCCCGCAGAGGAGAGGAGAGAUACAAAGAGGCAUCAGGAGUACAUAAACAUGUUGGGAAACGUUUACGAUUCAGAAUAUGGAAUUCCAAGACGAUGUCCCUGUGGUGGGAGAAUGAUUGACGAGGUGCGGGUGAAGGAGGAGCACGAGACUCAUCCUGGAAAGCGCUUCUUCACCUGCAUAAACUACGAGGCUGAUGGGUUACAUUAUCGUCAGCCUUGGGUUGUAG
Brassica oleracea var. oleracea is the source of this 532-nucleotide long non-coding RNA. RefSeq lists it as uncharacterized. Lineage: Eukaryota; Viridiplantae; Streptophyta; Magnoliopsida; Brassicales; Brassicaceae. The record is from RefSeq and is a predicted model, not a curated record. The transcript has 3 exons.